UUGGUAAGGGAACGGCUUACCAAGGCUGUUAUGAGGCAUAGCCGACUUGAGAGAUUGAUCCCUCACUUUGGAACUGAGACUCGGACCACCCUCCUAAUGCAGGCACCGCUUUGGAAUCUUCCACAAAGGACGAACUUANGAUGGAGCAACGCCGCGUGAGUGAAGAAGGUUUUCGGAUCGUAAAGCUCUGUUGUUGGUGAAUAAGGAUAGAGGUAGUAACUGGCCUUUAUUUGACGGUAAUCAACCAGAAAGUCACGGCUAACUACGUGCCACCAGCCGCGGUAAUACGUAGGUGGCAAGCGUUGUCCGGAUUUAUUGGGCGUAAAGCGAGCGCAGGCGGAUUGAUAANUCUGAUGUGAAAGCCUUCGGCUCAACCGAAGAACUGCAUCANAAACUGUCAAUCUUGAGUGCAGAAGAGGAGAGUGGAACUCCAUGUGUAGCGGUGGAAUGCGUAGAUAUAUGGAANAACACCAGUGGCGAAGGCGGCUCUCUGGUCUGUGACUGACGCUGAAGCUCGAAAGCAUGNGUAGCGAACAGGAUUAGAUACCCUGGUAGUCCAUGCCGUAAACGAUGAGUGCUAAGUGUUGGGAGGUUUCCGCCUCUCACUGCUGCAGCUAACCCAUUAAGCACUCCGCCUGGGGAGUACGAC
RNAcentral lists this ribosomal RNA (649 nucleotides) under uncultured Lactobacillus sp. RNAcentral describes it as "bacterial SSU rRNA". It matches the Rfam family "Bacterial small subunit ribosomal RNA", at positions 249 to 886 of the family's 1533-position model. Lineage: Bacteria; Bacillati; Bacillota; Bacilli; Lactobacillales; Lactobacillaceae. The record is from RNAcentral.